GCCUUCCAGUAUAGUGGUUAGUGUCGCUGUCUACAGUGCCGUAGAACCUGGGUUCGAUUGCCGGGGAAGGCA
This is a non-coding RNA of Trichonephila clavipes, 72 nucleotides long. Lineage: Eukaryota; Metazoa; Arthropoda; Arachnida; Araneae; Nephilidae. The record is from the annotation of a GenBank genome assembly.